UCCCAGGUGGCUUAGAUAGUGAAGCGUCUGUCUAUAAUGCGGGAAACCCAGGUUUGAUCCCUGGGUUGGGAA
Transfer RNA from Ovis aries (sheep), 72 nucleotides. It matches the Rfam family "tRNA". Rfam says of the family: Transfer RNA (tRNA) molecules are approximately 80 nucleotides in length. Their secondary structure includes four short double-helical elements and three loops (D, anti-codon, and T loops). Further hydrogen bonds mediate the characteristic L-shaped molecular structure. tRNAs have two regions of fundamental functional importance: the anti-codon, which is responsible for specific mRNA codon recognition, and the 3' end, to which the tRNAs corresponding amino acid is attached (by aminoacyl-tRNA synthetases). tRNAs cope with the degeneracy of the genetic code in two manners: having more than one tRNA (with a specific anti-codon) for a particular amino acid; and 'wobble' base-pairing, i.e. permitting non-standard base-pairing at the 3rd anti-codon position. The record is from Rfam. NCBI's taxonomy places the organism in Eukaryota, Metazoa, Chordata, Mammalia, Artiodactyla, Bovidae.